This 468-nucleotide ribosomal RNA is filed under the name uncultured bacterium. Its description in RNAcentral is "partial 16S ribosomal RNA". It matches the Rfam family "Bacterial small subunit ribosomal RNA", at positions 28 to 507 of the family's 1533-position model. The record is from RNAcentral.
GACGAACGCUGGCGGUGUGCUUAACACAUGCAAGUCGAACGGUAAGGCCCUUUCGGGGGUCCACGAGUGGCGAACGGGUGAGUAACACGUGAGUAACCUGCCCUCAUCUCUGGGAUAACAGUCGGAAACGGUUGCUAAUACUGGAUAUGAGCUUGCAAGGCAUCUUGUGGGUUGGAAAGAUUUUUUUUGGUUGGGGAUGGACUCGCGGCCUAUCAGCUUGUUGGUGAGGUAGUGGCUCACCAAGGCUUCGACGGGUAGCCGGCCUGAGAGGGCGACCGGCCACAUUGGGACUGAGAUACGGCCCAAACUCCUACGGGAGGCAGCAGGGGGGAAUAUUGCACAAUGGACGGAAGUCUGAGGCAGCAACGCCGCGUGCGGGAUGACGGCCUUCGGGUUGUAAACCGCUUUCAAUUGUGACGAAGCUUUUUUGUGACGGUAGCAGUAGAAGAAGCACCGGCUAACUACGUG